CUACGUUAAUGGGGGCGCGUUCGUUUUGUUAAAAGACUACGUUUAACAAUAUAACGGGUCUACCCGGAGGGUUUGAAUUGAAUCAGGGCGGGAGGGGAGGGGGAUCUCUGUGAGCGCGAAAAUGUAAAAUUUGGGGGACCCCGGGCGAGCGGCUUUCGGGCGUUAAUGCCUUAGGCUCGAAACUGGGGAACAAACAGGAUAAAAACCUGGUAUCCACGCGUAAAGAAUAUUAUGGGGUGGGGGUUUAAAACUUUCGUGCCGCCAGAAACGCCAUUAGUAAUCCCCUUGGGAGUACGUUGGCAGGAUGAAACUCAAAGGAAUGGCGGGGACCCGCACCAGCGGUGGAGCAUGGGGUUUAAUUCGAAGCAACGCGAAGAACCUUACCAAGUCUUGACAUCCUUCUGACGAACACGUAAUGGUGUUUUCUCUUCGGAGCAGAAGAGACAGGUGGUGCAUGGUUUUUUUUCCACCUGUUUCGUGAGAUGUUGGGUUAAGUCCCGCAACGAGCGCAACCCUUAUCUUUAGUAGCCAGCAUUUAAGGUGGGCACUCUAGAGAGACUGCCGGGGAUAACCCGGAGGAAGGUGGGGAUGACGUCAAAUCAUCAUGCCCCUUAUGACUUGGGCUACACACGUGCUACAAUGGCGUAAACAAAGAGAAGCAAAACUGUGAAGUCAAGCAAAUCUCAAAAAUAACGUCUCAGUUCGGAUUGUAGUCUGCAACUCGACUACAUGAAGCUGGAAUCGCUAGUAAUCGCAGAUCAGAACGCUGCGGUGAAUACGUUCCCGGGUCUUGUACACACCGCCCGUCACACCAUGGGAGUGGGUUGCAAAAGAAGUAGGUAGCUUAACCUUCGGGAGGGCGCUUACCACUUUGUGAUUCAUGACUGGGGUGAAGUCGUAACAAGGUAACCAAGGGCGAAUCGCGCCGCUAUC
Molecule: ribosomal RNA, 933 nt
Filed under: uncultured bacterium
Lineage: Bacteria
Description: bacterial SSU rRNA
Rfam family: Bacterial small subunit ribosomal RNA
Source: RNAcentral